Molecule: ribosomal RNA, 419 nt
Filed under: uncultured bacterium
Lineage: Bacteria
Description: bacterial SSU rRNA
Rfam family: Bacterial small subunit ribosomal RNA
Source: RNAcentral
GGCGGACGGGUGAGGAAUACAUCGGAAUUUGCCCAGUCGUGGGGGAUAACGUAGGGAAACUUACGCUAAUACCGCAUACGACCUAACGGUGAAAGCGGGGGAUCGCAAGACCUCGCGCGGAUGGAUAAGCCGAUGUCGGAUUAGCUAGUUGGUGGGGUAAAGGCCCACCAAGGCGACGAUCCGUAGCUGGUCUGAGAGGAUGAUCAGCCACACUGGGACUGAGACACGGCCCAGACUCCUACGGGAGGCAGCAGUGGGGAAUAUUGGACAAUGGGGGCAACCCUGAUCCAGCAAUGCCGCGUGUGUGAAGAAGGCCUUCGGGUUGUAAAGCACUUUUAUCCGGAACGAAACGCGCACCGUGAAUAACGGUGUGAACUGACGGUACCGGAGGAAUAAGCACCGGCUAACUUCGUGCCAGC